UACGGAGGGAGCUAGCGUUGUUCGGAAUUACUGGGCGUAAAGCGCGCGUAGGCGGCUUUGUAAGUUAGAGGUGAAAGCCCGGAGUUCAACUCCGGAACUGCCUUUAAAACUGCAUCGCUUGAAUCCAGGAGAGGUGAGUGGAAUUCCGAGUGUAGAGGUGAAAUUCGUAGAUAUUCGGAAGAACACCAGUGGCGAAGGCGGCUCACUGGACUGGUAUUGACGCUGAGGUGCGAAAGCGUGGGGAGCAAACAGG
Molecule: ribosomal RNA, 253 nt
Filed under: uncultured bacterium
Lineage: Bacteria
Description: partial 16S ribosomal RNA
Rfam family: Bacterial small subunit ribosomal RNA
Source: RNAcentral